GUUGGUGUUUUGUCGGAGGGGGUACACCCGUUCUCAUUCCGAACACGGCAGUUAAGCCUUCUAGAGCCGAUGGUACUCGUAAAGGGGAGAGUAGGCAGACGCCAACA
This 107-nucleotide ribosomal RNA is filed under the name Candidatus Nomurabacteria bacterium CG1_02_47_685. Lineage: Bacteria; Candidatus Nomuraibacteriota. RNAcentral also lists the same sequence under 7 other names. The record is from RNAcentral.